CUUGACCUCAAAUCAGGUAGGACUACCCGCUGAACUUAGC
This 40-nucleotide ribosomal RNA is filed under the name Xerocomellus sp. 'diffractus'. RNAcentral's name for it is "partial 28S ribosomal RNA". The record is from RNAcentral. Lineage: Eukaryota; Fungi; Basidiomycota; Agaricomycetes; Boletales; Boletaceae.